UAGGUUGCAGAUUUAUUCAGGAUGAUGGAGAAUUAAAACACAUUACGACCUGUCAUUCCAAUCAAUGAAUACAAAACUCUGGAUUGUCAACACCAACAGGUAAGGUGUCUAGUUUAUUUCAUAGCUUUCAGCCUUAAUUUAGACGUUUAAAGUUGGUAAUUUUAUUGAAUACUCUGAAAAGAAUAUGCACACACUUUUUUGCAUAAAUUAACUGUAAUGCUUAAGUAAAAUUAAAAGAUUGUAGUAUGCUUAAAUAAGAAGUCAUCUAGGUCUUUAUAAACGGCGCAUAGUUCAAUUGUUUUGAAAAAUGAACUGCAUACAAAAAAGGCAGUUGCAAAUAAAAGUCUUAAAUGAAGGGGAAAAAAAUCCAGGAACCAGAAUUAUUGUGCAACCAUGUUUUAAAAUGAUCCAACGGAAGAUUUGAAAUCGUUAGAAAAAGGUAAAACUAACAGUUUGUACUUUUAUCGCUAAUUUUUCUAUCGAAUUAUAGCAGUAAAAAGGUUCUGUAUUUAUUGUACCUUUAUAAUACUGCAAAGUAUCUUACCGAUAUUUUAAAAUUUUGUAAAUCUGGUUUUGAAAAAUUAAAGUGCUUAAAUUGUAUAACAGUUAUGUAAUCGUACUGAACUAUUUUAGUAAUUUUUUCAGUACUUAAAUCUAAACUAUUCAAAUGUACAUGCGCAACAGAAUUUAUAAAUGGUCGCAUGCUCUUCAGAAGGGAAUAGUGCUAAACAUUUAACAUUCGCACGACAAAUUGUAACGUCAGUUCAUAAUUAUCGAAGAUUAUUGGAGACAUGACUCUUGACUUAUUUGUAGAUUUUUUUUACAAAAUUUUUAACACAUAUUUAAGUUUUUUGUGGCUCUUUUAUCAGUUUUUUUCUUGAUUUUCUGAUAUAUAUUGGUUUUACUUAAAAUUUCUACAUAAUUCCUGGGUGAGAGUUAUACGACUGCUGAUCCUUUCUUUUUGCAUCUUUUAAGUUUUCUUGUGUUAAUCAAAAACAAACGAAUAAAAUUAAAGUGAUUUCUUUAUUGAUAAUGAUUUUCAACCAGUUUCUCGCAUACCUCAUUAAUAAUGUAUGCGCAUUGAUCCCUUGAGUUAUCCCAUACGAUUCUAUUGUCGAUGUUAUUUAAGUUAUAUUCUGUAAAUAGCUAAAAUGACGUACAAGGACUUUUACAAUCUUCGAAAGUUUUCACACAAAAAUAUUCAUUUCACAUCAUUUUCGAUCCAGAUUGAGUUGGCACUAUUUGCUCUCGCUUGACGUUAGACAAACAUUUACUGUACCGGAUUGAUAUAUUUAACUUUCCACUUUUCACUCACCUUUGCGGUUUACAAAACACUUGAAAAAAGCGCAAGGGGUUUAUCAAUUCGAACGUCUUUAUAUCAAACCCAUGAAAUGUAACGUUUCAGUUCUGUUGUAAACUGGACUGUGUACUUAUUUUAUUAUAAACUUACCUUCCAGACAUAUGGUUUAUAAAAGAUAAGAAUGUACCCAUGUAAAACUGUUUUAAUAUCAUAUUUCGAGACUUUCAAAUUGCAUUAUCAUAACCAUAUGUUAGUCUGUAUUCAUCUCUUUUCUCGGAGCAGUCGGUGGUUAUUGGUUUGGUACUCUUUAAUAUUCAUGUUAAUUCCGUUUAGCCUUUAAAGCACAGCACUGAUGGAGAAAACCUGGUUGAAAACGUAUUUAAGUAACAAAGGUGGAUAGCUAGCUGCCAUGACACUUUUGACACUAACUCUCUCCCGUAUAUGGACAUGUUAGUGUAAAAAAUGUCUGGAUGCUAAACCCCUUGAAGGUUCUGUUAAAAAAUCAAGAUUAACAUGUUGUCACAUUUCCGCUUGCAAGUCCUGAUUUUUUUUUAUAGUGAUACUUGUUUUAUAAUGGGUUUGAUAUUCAUAUAAUUUAGUUGCUAUUAAUUCGUCCUUGUAUCUCUGAAAUACUAAUACUUAAUUUGACUUUAGUAUUUGUAAGCUUGUUUGAAAAUGUACUAAAAGUGCAUAGAUGUCAGGCAAUUUUCAGUUGUCACUGUUGUAUAUAAGUUCCAAAAUAGUAAUUUGUUACAGUUUGUCAGAGACACUGUUUCUCUUCAUAUACGUAAUGUGCAACGUGUAAUUCUACCUUUCAGUCAUUAGGACUAUUAUUCCAAAAGCAAUACUAUUUUACGUAACACAAUAGUGUUACUGCAAUUAAAAAAAGCCAUUCUACGAUCAUAAAUGGAAAUUAUUACUCAUUUGAUUCCACCACAUUAGGCACAUAAGCAAUCUUUGUUAUCUAACAUCAUGAAAUCGUGUUGUAUGCCUUUCAAUAAUUAAUAAAAACAGCAGUUGUUGGUUGCAAUUCAAUCAAAGGUAAUAAGUGGAACUUAAUAUAGUCGAUCAAAUGGGUUCUUAACUAGUUAUACAUAUAACAGCUGAAUGGAUGAAACAAUUCAUUUGGUUUUUGUGUCAAUCUCACAUUACUAUGAGAAUUUAUUCAUGAGUUUGCCAACUAUUGUAAUGACAUAAUUAUAACGUUAAACAAUAUUUCAUACAGAUGAUUAAACGACGAAUUAUAGCUUUAAGUUGUAUUUUAGUCACAACCAAAUUUUAUAAAAAAAAAUCAUUUGGAGACUGAAACCGCACAAAAAAAUGCAAAUUAGCAUUAUACAAAUUAUUCAUUCAACUUUUUCAUGAAUUGAAAUAUCCCAUUCCUGCAAUUAACUAUUUUAAAUGAAACACAAUUUGUUAGCACACAAUAUUUGAUUUUUAUUUAUUUUUACUUAUAUUAUUUUAAUAACUUAGAACAAUCGUACACUUUGUAGUCCCUUCGAAUAGAUAAGACAUUGUAAAUCUGUCUUCACCUUCGUAGUUACUUGGCCCUUUCAACGUAGAUUGAUGAUAAGGGCUAUUGUUAUAUUGUUAAAUGAUCGCGACGUAAAUGUAAAUGUGAGAUGAAACUAACGUUAAUUAUUUUAUUUUGAGCUUGAAACAAAAGUGAAAUAUGUCUUUGAUUGCUUUUUUUCAGAAUUGAAAUUCUGUACAAAUUUGGAUAAGCAAGACCAUAUACCCAUUCAAUGUUAAUGACAUGACUUUAUAAAAUAUCUUCUCAAUUGUUGUCACUGCUUUUAGUCUGCAUUUCAAAACAUUGGGUGACAAGCUUUCAUUUGAGCAGGUUAAAAACGUAUAGCUUUUAUCGGUGACUGUAAAAUUUGAAAACAUCACGUUACUAAUUCAACGCUUCCUAAGCGCUUUUCUGUAUGCCAACAUUUACAUGUAUUCAUCAUAAAAUGUAACUUGUGUUCAAAAACAUAAGUACUAUUUGCAGUCGUAAAUACAAGGAAUUUUAUGCGAUUUUCUAACAAGUUAGAGGUUUGGCUAGCUAUAAAACCAGGUUUAAUCUACAAUUGUUUAACAGAAGCAAAUAACUGUACCAAGUCAUGAAUGUGACAGUUGUUUACCACUUAUUUGAUGUUUUUGGGCUUUCGAUAUUGCCUUUUGUUAAGGGACUUUCUGUUUUGAAUUUUCCAUGGAGUAUGGAGUCUGGUGUUUUCGUUAUUUUACUUUAAGUAACAAUUAAUCAGAUAUCUUGUCUCUUAUCAAUAAAUGAGACUUUUUAAAAUCCGCUGAUUAGUCUGUCGUGAUGGAAUGAAAAGUGAUUUAGAUUUUGAUCAUUUUUAUUAUCGGAUUACUAGUGCAAAAUUAUGUUUUCAAUUUGACACAUUCACUAUCUGUCUUUAGUCUUAGCAUUAGGGACAUUAUCCUUGUCAUCUUUUAGUCUGAUAUUGACAAUAUAAGUCUGGUUAUCCAUUUAUUGAAUUAGUAAAAUCAAUACCUAUGUUGACAGUUUCCAUCUAGAAAUUAGAGCAUCUUACCAUUUUGUUAAUAAAUUUUCCACCAGAUAUACAAAUGAAUGCAGCCAUCCAUAUAUUUUUUUCUAUUCUUCUAAUCAUAUGUUAUAAUUGAAAUGUAGAACAAAAUGGAACGUAAAAUUUCUUAAUCUGUAAACAACGAUACAAUGUUAAAGACGUUAAUGCGUCAUAACUUUCUAGCUCGUCACCAAACCCCAUUUGGUUUUGAAUAAAUAUAAACUUUUUUUGAUAACCAAAAGAACAAAAAUCAUUUAUGAAAAAUAUACUUUUUAUUAUUAUUAAGGUCUUUCCUUUUUCAAAAGGGAAAGACCUUACUGUAUUUCUUCUGUUUAUUAUUAUUAUUAUUAUUAUUAUUAUUAUUAUUAUUUAUUAUUAUUAUUUUUAUUUUUUAUUAUUUUCCCAACUUUGACAAAUUUAUCCGCGUUAACCGUAAGAAGUGUCGCUUUUCAUGUUCACACUUUGUAUCGGUGUCAUGAAUACCUAUCCGGAACUCACCCUGUGAGUCGAAAUAUUUUGUCGGUUCGGAGUAAUCCCUCCGAAACCCAAAAACCUUGUUACCGUAACCGUAAUAGGUAGAUAAAAACGAAGGGUGAAAUUUGUUCAGGACCAGACCCUGGUUCUUCGUCACAUUUGGAUCGAAAGGAUUCAACGACUCAUUGGUAGGGUUAUGCCCCUAUGAAAAUUAACCGGUGUCGGUUGGCCACCAAAACUCAGAAACCGUAAGUCGUAGACACCUAGGAUCUUCACCAUUCAUCAUCAAUUCAUGUGACUUUGAAAAAUACCUCAAGGUCAAAUGUGUAUGUUGACCUUGACCUUUAUAAAAUGUUUUUAAGGUUGACCUUGACCUUUGACCUUUCAACUUUUUAGUCGAUAUCUCAAAAACGGUUAAUCUACGAAUAGUAAACAGUGAAAAAUGUUUAGGUGACUGAGGCACAACUUUUUUACAUUUUGACCGGAAGGAUUUGACAUAUUCUUAAGGGGCAUAACCGCUGAUAGCGGUUUCUGAAAUGGUAAAAUUAGCUUUAACUCUUGAACCCAUGGGGUCUUUUACAAUGACAUUGUGGACCAAUGACCUUCACAAAGGUUACAACGUCAAAAGUCAAGGUCAUGCCCAAAUUAUCGAAUUGUUUUUUGUCAUUUUUUAACGGUUUUAUGUGUGUUUGAGAGCUUUUCAAUGCAUUCUACGCCUAUUGGAACAUGUACUUUACAUUUCGAAAAGGAAAGACCUCUCAAUUGUUCAAAAACAAUUGACAUUUUAAUUAUUACUAUUAUUAUUAUUAAUGUAUUUGCUAACAGCAGAACCUUGAAAUUUCAAAUAGAUGACGAUGUAUAAUAUCAUUACAACAAAAUAUAGUACAAUGAUUAACAUAUGAUUUGCUUAAUAACUUAUGUUUCACUGUGAUUGUUUAAACGGCUUUCUGUGGUAUUUGUUUGAACAGUUAUUCAUCUAUUGACUUUGAUCGUGAGAUUACUUUUAAACUUGUGAUGGUUAAACUCUAUAUUCAGGCGUACAAAAAAUCAAUGGAACGGAUGACAGUAUGUGCUUGAUUGAUUGGUGGUUGCUUUAUGCCACAUUAGCACAAGAAGGCUAUAUUGAUGCGAUACAAAAAAUUACAAAAAAAGUUAACAUUUAUAAAUAUUUAAUGCAUUUUCUUUUUUAUAAGUAUUUAAUGCAUUUUCUUUUCACUAUUUGAUUUAUGUGUACACUGGGGUCUAGUUCACACAACAUUACCACCCUGAUAUUGACACAGUCGAAAACAAAAUGUGUAAGAAUAAUUUGCAAAUGGCGGGAAAGGGGGAUUAAUAUUAAUAAGCAAAAUCUCCCCUUUUUGUGUUCAGUUAUAAUCGUUAUCGUAUGAUAAUAAAUUACAUCUAUUCAAAAUAUACUAUGUCCAGAAUCAAUCAUAGGAACAAAUGUAAUGUUCUUAAACUUGCAUUUUCCGGAGAUAAUGGUAGAUUAAGCCUGGUUUUAUGUCAAGCCAAACCUCCCAUUUGUAUGACAAUUUUUACAGUUUCGUGCAAUUUGAAAAAUUGGGCAAGAAAUGCAAAUAGACAUAACAGUUGAAUAGAUCUUAAUUCAGCUGGAAGUCAAAUAUUAUCGCGCUUUCGAACGUGUGCUUUUGAAACACUUGCAUUUACUCAAUUUACUAAGAAAGUGAUAUUCUACUAUUCAUUACUGGAACUUUAAAUUUCUUUAACUUGACUUUUAUAUUGAACUACCUGAAUUACAGUUAAAUCUAAUCUCUUUACUUUGUUCUAAACAGAUUUGAAUUUAAACUCAGUAUUGCCCAAACUGGAGAUCAAAUUAAAUUAAUACUAAACAUUGAAUUCAAACUUCAACUAUAACACGUUCUACUAAUUUACUGGUAUCUAAUAUUUUAUGUCAAAUAUUUAUUAGUUAUACUUUUUCAGUAAACUAAACUCGGACUUAAACUUGCGCCCAAAAUCUAGUUUUAAAUAAAAAGAAAAUAUGAGUUUACAAUUGGUUUAUACAGAUUUCAAAAUAUUUCUUUGCAAUUGUAGUUUGAUUUCCAUCAUUCAAAUUAAUAAAGCCGUUCGCUUUUGACCUUUUGUUUUAUAAUUUUUUAGACUCAUAAACAAAACUUGCAAUGGAAAUGAUUAUAAUAUCAACUUUGACAAUGCAUUUAUUGAGUUUCACUAGAAUAGAACAUGUAACUCACUAACAGCAAAGAAUAAAGUAUUCCAGUUUGAAACAAAUUUCUUUAAAUUAUGUUUGCUGGUUGGUAUUGCACUGACAAGUUACAGCAAUCUACACCAGAAUUAUAUCUUCAACUGCAUGGCAUGAUUUAAUUGUUCAUCUUAAAUCAUUUCAGCCUUCUUCUUGUUUUACAAAUAAAACUAACGGGUUUCCUUGUGUAAUUGGUUUUCGAAUUGCAUAGCUCUAUAAAGAAAAGUGUUGACAAACUAUAUUAACAUUCUUGUUGCAAUUAUCUGAAAACCGCUGUUAUCAAAUGUCAAUUUGAUUGUUGCAAUAGUGUUUAACUAUAGUGGCCUUUUGUUUGCCAACAAUCAUUCGUCAUGAGCGUAAAUAUUUGAUAUAGUUUCCUUUCUCACACUCCUACAAUUUAUUAUGACCUUCAUUUAAAUUUCAAAGAAUAAGAAACAAUCUACUCUUUAGAACAAAAAUUACAUGGCACUGUUGUGCGUCACCGAUGAAAUUUAUGUAAUAAGGAAUAGAUUACCUUAGCCGUAUUUGGCACUACUUUUUAAAAUUUUGGGUCCAAAGUGCUCUUUAACUUGGUACUUGUUUGGAAUUUCUAUUUUUAUAAAUUUCUAUUUUUAUAAAUUUCCUGUUUACAAAACUUUGAAUUUUUCGAAAAACUAAGGAUUUUCUUAUCCCAGGCAUAUAUUACCUUAGAUGUAUUUGGCACAACUUUUUGGAAUUUUGGAUCCUCAAUGCUCUUCAACUUUGUACUUGUUUGGCUUUAUAAAUAAUUUGAUAUGAGCGUCACUGAUGAGUCUUAUGUAGACAAAACGCGCGUCUGGCGUACUAAAUUAUAAUCCUGGUACCUUUGAUAACUAUUUGGCUAAAUAUUAAUUUUGAUCUGAGUGUCACUGAUGAGUCUUGUGUAGACGAAACUCGCGUUUGGCGUACUAAAUUAUAAUCCUGCUACUUUUGAUAACUAAUAACACCACUGAGUCGAAGGUAUCACCAGUCCAGUAGUCAGCACUUCGGUGUUGACCUGAAUAUCAAUUAUUUGGUCAUUUUUAUAAAUUUCCUGUUACAAAACUUUGACUUUUUCGAAAAACUUUUCUUAUCCCAGGAUUGAUUACCUAACCCAUAUUUGACACAACUUUUUGGAAUUUGGGUACUCAAUGCUGUUAAAAUUUGUUCUUGUUUGGCUUUAUAACUAUUAUGAUAUGAGCGUCAGUGAUGAGUCUUUUGUAGACGAAACGCGCGUCUGGCGUGCUUAAUUAUAAUCCUGGUACCUUUGAUUACUAUUGAAUCACAAUUUUCAAGAUAAUUUGAAGUGGUUUCAAAAGUCAUUUCUAUUAAACUGUAACUUUGUAAAGUCUUAACAUUAACGACUUUGUGCAAUGUUUAUAAUCAUAAUCAGUUGAGUUGAAUAAUAUUUUUAAAAUAGAAAAAGAAAAUAUAGAAAAUAGCGCUCGGAAAGUAUGUCUGGGCAUGCAUAAAUUCUAAUGCAAUCAGUAAUCAAAAUUAAGUAAAAUGAUUAGUAAUUAUAUUCAAUUUGUUUAUCCUUUCUUGUUUGUUAAAACGGUCGGUGUAUUUGUAUUGUAUACACUGCAUUGUAUUUACAGUGAGUUGUGAGGUUAGGGGAUUUGUGUUUUAUUUUCAUGCGCGCCAAGCAAUUUUAAGUCCUUCUUGUAACUUAUUGUGUUCUGUCAUUCAUAAAUACAAAAAUAAAUGUUUGUAUGCACAUGAAUACAUGUUUAAUCAAUUGAUGUUAUUUCUAACUUUUGGUGUCAAUGCAUAAAACUUAUUCACGAUGUUUUUACUUCCAAUUUGCUUAGAAGCAGAAAUCAUCUGGGAUUGGUGUGUAAAUCUUGUAUAGUGAUAUAAACUAUAAGAUUCUAUUUUAUUUGUUUAAAGCAUUCAUAUUAAUAUCAAUACCAUUUUAUUCUUUUAUCUUUCUUCAAAGUUAAUAAUAUCGCGUGUUUUUACUUUAGAUUUAAUGUGGAUUUACAUCUUAAUGCGGUUUCUCUACGAUGAUUGAAUAAAACAUAUCUGCCACUGACAUUUUGAAAACUAUUCUAUUACAACAGACAACAUAUCUGAGCAUAUAUUGACAACGCAUUGGAAUUGUUCUAUGCUAUUUUAUUUGAAAUACAUGCUUAUAAUAUGGAACAGAAAAUACAGUAAAAAUAAACUAUCAAUAGCAAAGAAAGAAGUUAGCUUUUUCCCCGUAUGGUUUAUAAAAACACCAAAAACUAUUUUAUAUCCCAUAAAACUUAAAGAAUUAGAGAUAAAGGAUACAACAGAUACAGUUAAGUCUGCCUCAUAUCUUGAAAAACAUCUAGAAAUUGACCAUGAAGGUCGUUUGAUAAAUAAAACUUUAAGACAAAACAGAUGAUUUCAGAUUCCCAGCCAACACGACGGUUGUCACAUGUGGACUAGGAUCUGCUUACCCUUCAUGAGCACCUGCGGUAACCCAAUGUUUUCAUAGGGUUCGGGUUGCUCUGUCUUUAGAUUUCUUUGUUGUGUCUUGUUUACUAUUGUUUGGCUAUUGGUCGUUUUCUUGUUUUAGCCAUGGCCUUGUCAGUUUAUUUACCACGUUCGAGUUUGGAUGUUCCUCUGGGCAUCUUUAACCUAUCUUUUAUAAUGCUAUACAUACAAAAAUGUAUUGAUACUAAUUCCAUUUUGUUCAGUUUCAGACUGAAUUUAAAUUUUAAGAAACACUUUGAAACACUUUAGAGUCUUCUGUUCAUAAAAAACACAAUAAAAGAACCAAUUUGUCAAUUCCCAAUUCAGGAGUAUCAAUAGUUGUUUGUAGUUAAUCAUGACUUGGAGGUGUAAUUGCAAUUAAAUUGAUCGGAAGUAAAUUUUACAGUAGCUAUGAUAUGAUUAAUAGGUUUCAAUCGGCAGGAUUUACAAUAUUGUUGCUUCACUAUAGAUCACUUUAAUUUCCCAUGUGAAAUGCAAACAACACUACUGCGGAUUUUGAUUGAAUUUUAUAGAUUUAAAAUCAUAUUUCAAAAUUAUGAGAUUUGCACAGUAUAAUAAUUCAUGUCCAAUGCAAUACCUUCUGUUACUUUAUAUUUGGCCUUGAAAAAUAUUAAAGAUACAUAUCAACGUUGGUAUAAAAGUGUAAAGUAAGAUAUGCAAUUUUUAUUAAACCUUUUCGCCAUGUAUAUCCAUGUCGUUGGAAUUUUUUUUUUUGAAGUGAUAUAGCAUGUAAAAUCGAUAAUAAGGGCAAUGUUUUGUAUUUGCAGUUGAAUACUUGAAUGACCAGUGAGUAUAAUGAGAGAAAUGCCUGACAUAAAAAAGAGUGCAUUUCUGAACAAGUAUUCUACAGAACUGGAUUGAUAUUGCAUCUGAUUCCUUCCAUUUCCGAUUAAAGUUAAAGUCAUUUGCAUGACUCACCUGACAAGCGACGUCCCGCUGAUGCAAGUUGUUUUAAUCGGAAAUAAGACACAAUCGGUAGAAUUACAGAGCACACGACUAUACUGAUAGUGUUGUUGCUUAUAGGAACAAUGUUUAACAUGGAGAUAAUAUCAGUGAAGUAGAAGUGUUCUUUCAAACGUUUUAUGGUCGCCAUCAUUAUUUGGUUGCCCUUUAUGGAAUAUUUGUGUUUUCGAUUUUGUUCGGUUGUGUCAUCCCCGAAUGGGACUUAUUACCAAAUUUGAACUAUCAUCAGUAACGAUGAGCUACACAACAGCCUGUUAUAUACGCCUAUUUUAUUGUUUUUGUCAUCCUUUUGGAACAUUCUUCAGAUCUAAUUUUCUUAAAUGUGUGUGUAAACUUAUGGAUGUGGUUCAUACAUAUAUACAUGUAUUCAUCCACACGACACAAUUUCUGUUUCCAAUUCAGUCUGAUUUUGGAAACAAAUUAUAACUUUAAAAUGUCUACUAGUAUCUUUUAUAAGACAAAAAUAUUUUUAAAAGCAGAAAGUGAGAUAAUUGAUAUAACCAUAACUAAUUAUAUACGAAAUAUUUAAUAAAAAUGAAGAUAUCUAUUAAAUCUACGAAAACUUUGCUGUAAUUACAACAACGCAUACAAUAAGUGUAAUAACGUUUCUUGUCGCUAAUUUUAGUAACAUCGUCAUGCUAUAGUCUGAUGUUAAUAAUUUAUAAGCCCGGUUAUCCCUUUAUGAGUUAAAGUAAUUAAUGAAAGUGUUGACAGUGUAACAAUUCAGUCAUUUUUCGUGGGCUGUCCACGGGUCAUAUAAAGUGGUAUCUAUUUAGUGGUAGAAAAUAAUUGUAAAACCCGUUUUUCUCUCCUUGAUACGCCUAUCUCAAUUAAACACAAACAGACACACGUACAUUUCAGCACGAGGAAAGCUAAGAAAAAUAUACAGCAAAUCCAGUAUAAAAUGACUGUAAAAAAGAUAUCAAAAUGUUCUAGCUCAAUAUCACAGUUGAACACUCCAUAUGGACGAUUAGCUUGAUUUUAAGAUACUACCGUAAACUGUUACUGUUAAACAAUAUUGCUUAUCUACUGACAAAUUAUUUUGAGCCCACAUGCUGGAUGUUUUUAAGUUUCUUAAAUUAUUUCCCCCUGUUAUACCAGUAUUUUAGGUUAGAUGAAAACGUUCAUACACAUUAUAAAUCCCGUCACAGACUCAACUAGAUAUAGGAAGAUGUGGUAUGAGUGCCAAUGAAACAACUCUCCAUCCAAAUAACAAUUUAUAAAAGUAAACCAUUAUGGGUCAAUGCACAGCCUUCAACACGGAGCCUUGGCUCACACAGAACAGCAAGCUAUAAAGGGCCCCAAAAAUUACUAGUGUAAAACCAUUCAAACUGCAUUUGUUGCGACCAUUUCCGGAAUUCUUUUUUGAUUUUUGUUUAUCUUUAUAGACUAUAAGUCAACAGUGUUCUCUUGUCUAGCAAUAUCAGGAAACAAUUUUAAGUCUGAUAUUUUCCAGGAAUCUUGCAUGAAAACCAAUUAAUAAAACACUGUUUUCCAGUUACGAAAAAGUCGUAUUAUAUAAAGUGGAAGCAGGUGCCCUUUGUCUGUCUGAUUAAUCUCCUUUUCAAAAUUGUUACGUGUAAAAGCAUAAAAAUCAUUGAUGUCUACUUUAUUAUAAUUUUACAAAACAAAUUAGAUCAGUCCCACUUUAUAUGCAUUUGAUAUUAUAUUGAAAUACGAUAGAAAUUCAAAUUAGUUUCAUGUUAAAAGACAAAAAAGUAAAACAAAUCGGCCGCCUUUACAUUCAUUAUUUUCAAUAUGAUAUUAAUAUCUUUUGAGUUUGAUAUUUACAAAACAUGUUGUAGUGGUCAGUUCUUUGUGUGUUCUUCAUGAACAUAUCGAAAGAUGAUAUUACAUAAGAAGGUUAAAACUGUCAAAUACUGUAGACAUGGUAUUUUAUUAUAUAAAUAUUAAACAGUGCAAUGAUUCUGAUUUUAGAAAAAGACUGUAUUAAGUAUUUCCCUACAUGAUGGCCAUCAUUAAACAUACGGGACCAAAGUUAAGCUUUUGUAUUUCGUUCAUCUAAUUGAUUAAUGCAUAAAAGGGUUUCUGUUACCGUCACUAAUCAUGAAUCAAAUCAGUUGAUAACAUAAUUUAUCAAAACAAUAUGUUACUCAGAUCAGCCAUAAAGGAAUACAACAAUGGUCAUUAGGUGUGGAUGGUCAAUACAUUAUGUAUUAAUGAAACUGGUAGUUUAAUAAUAGUUAUAAUAAACAUUGCUUUUGAAAUAAUAUGGAGCCAUAAUGUCCGUUGCUGAAACAAUGCAUACAAAUAUUUUGUUUGAAAUCAUGAAGAAUGAAAGUUAGGAAUUGUGAAAUGAUUGUCAAUAUGUAAGCAAUAAUUAAAAAAAAAAAAAAAUAAAGGACACAAGUUAUGUAAAACAAUAUCCGAGAAACAAAUAUAACAGACAAUAACAAAAGGUCAACCACUGAACUACAGGUUUCUAACUUGGGACAUGCAAAUAUGAAAUUCGGUUAGCAACACAUGAUUGUGAGCGACCAAACCUCCCCUUAAAUGGGAGAAUAGUGAAAUAGCAUAAUGAUAUAAAAACGAUAUAUUGGUACUCGGAGAUACAGAAAUCCAGGCCAAAACAAGAAAUAAUUAUAAUAAAUUAUAUUUCCCCGGAAAAAUACUAAAUAAAUACACACACAACGGAUUGAGUGGGCCAAUAAUUUUAGAAGAAACAUUUAUUCUUAACACAGACGAAAACAAAAUACUCCCUGCUUUAAUUAUAAGUCAGUCCAAUCAUAUCUAAUACUCAUGUCAUAUUUAUUGCAGCUAAAAUUGAAACGGCUAGCGCGUGGUGAUGACGAACUUUAGUCUUAAUCCUUUGAUUGCCUCUUUAUAAGUUCUUAACUCAUAUAUAAUUAUAUUUUUCCUUGUGAACCUGCCAUUUCUAUGUGGAAGCAUUCCAACAUAACCUAUAUUUACAGUUACAUAUGUUCUGGUUUAUAUAGUAUUCUAGGGCUUGCAUUUCAUAAAACAAUUUCAAUUUAACCGUUUGCUACCUGGUAGAAAACAUAAACGUUUCAUCCAUUUUGUUUUUAUUCAGAAAACAAUAUUUGCUUCUUUCCGGUAUUACCAAACAGCUUUAUCUUCCGCCUGCUUUUAAACAGACAGUCAGAUAUAAAUUUUAAGUCAAGCUUUAGAGAAGUGGUAGUUCUAUUCUCGUUUUAUCUUAUUUUGAAAAAGAAAUCGUAUUCGAUUGAACUAUAGUAGAAAAUAACAUACAAUAAUGGAAAAUCCUAUGAAAUUAUUCCGUUAAUAUUCCAUGAACUAGUCCUUUUAUUCUCAGAAGACAAAUAAAAAUACAAAAUCUUCAGUUAGGACUUAUGAAUUUAGUUACGUAACUCAAUAUUGAUUUUAAUCACUAGGGGUUUUAAUUGUGUUGCGUCAUUUUCGCAGCACGGCUUAUAAUUGCAUUUAAUGUCUUUCAUUACCGGAAAUUUGUUGCAAGUAAAUGGUUGUCAUAGAAAGAGUUGUGAAAUUGUCAAACGUUUGAUGUAAGAUCUUAUGAUCCUAUACUUGUAUGAAAACAAAUAAAACACAUCGACUUUUAAUUUUUAUACACAUUUAUAGGACGGAAGAAGAACACAAAACAUUAUAAAAAGUCUUCACCUGCAGCCAAGAGAAAUAAUGAGUGAUAACACACCUGAUCAAAUUCCUGAAAUGUAAAAGGAAAUUGCCAAAGUUUCAUUUAGGAAAUAGGUUAUAUUGCAAACGUAUAACGUUUUUUUCUGAUUUAUUUGUGCUAAACAGUGUAAACUAUGUCGUUUUUCAAUUUGUAAGUCAAUAACUAACUUUGAAAUCGGCUGUUUAGAAAUACAGUAUUUUACAAAUAUUCAAAACUAUUUCUUAUUCAAAAUCUAUUCUACAAAAAUUUGUAUUCAGAAUAAAGAUAAUUAAAAAGUAAAAUCACAAAAAUACUGAUCUCAGAGGAAAAUCUAAUCGGAAAGUCAAAUGACAAAACACAUCAAAAACGAAUGGACAAGAACUGUCAUAUAUGACUUGGUACAGGCAUUUUCAAAUGUAGAAAAUGGUGGAUUAAACCUGGUUUUAAAGCGCUAAACCUCUCACUUUGAUGACAGUCUCAUCAAAUUCCGUAAUAUUUACAAUGAUGCGUGAACUAAACAGACAUAAUAAAUAAAAUAGUCAAAAUAUGGAUACAAGGCAAUUUAUCAUUGUGUAAUGCAGUUACGAAAGUCAAUGAAUAGAAUUGCAAGGAACUUACUCUUUAUGUAUUGAAAAUGUCAAGAAAUACAUGGUAAAUGGGAGGGGAUUUCAAUUAUUCUAACUGAUGGACAAAGAGAUAUUUAAGUUAAACAUGCGGUAGAACAGUAGAUACAUCGGACUAGCGGUUUCUGAGAUCUUCCGCGGACAAGUUCAAGUGGGACAAACUUGAAAAGGAGAGAGAACAAGAUUAAUAAGAUUAAAGGGGCACUAGCAACGAGAUAGAUAAAAAAUAGUAUGAUUUUUUGGUUCAAUCUUUAAUGAAAGUGUAAAAGUGAACUAAUAAUUCGCUUUAAGAAUCCAGUAUGGUUCAAUUUUGUCAAAUUAAUCUAAAAAACAUUAAUGCAACUUAAAUGUGAAUAAUUCAGCCUCAUUUGAUCCAUAUACAAUUAUAUCAAUUUAACCCCUUUGCUAGAGAUGAAUAACUCAUGCAUUGUGCGUUUUAAGUUAUUUAAAAGAAAAGAAUGUCAACAUUGAAAGUUAAACAAAGGUAAAUCAUUUGAUUUACUAAUUCAAUCCACGAAAAAAUCAUUCUCAUAAAGGUAAAACGGUGAUUGACAUUUAUUUUGAACGGACCUAAAAAAAAUCCAUUUACACGAGUUCACUUUCCAUUUAUAUCCACAAUUAUGUUUAUAUCGCUUAUAUGACCAUCGGAGAUUUUCGGAGGUCAACUUGAAAGUUAAUUAAAUGGCGUCAAAACUGAAAUACACACGAAACGAAGCUACAUAUUAUAGAACCCAUGUCCUGUAAAUAGUUUAUUUCAAACUUUUUAUAAUUUGGAUAAAUGUUUCACAUGGUUAUAACUCGAAUAUAAGAUUUUGAGUAAAUCGGUGAACAUGAAUUUUACAGCUAGUGCCCCUUUAAAGAACUGAGGAAAACAAUGUCUCCAAAAUUCGUUGUCGAGGGAUGAUAUGCAUAUGCUUCAUAUUAUCUUAAAAAUUAUCAAAUGAAGAAGAAGAGAAAACUCUGACCAAUAUUGUAUAUGCGAGACUAAAUGAUCCUUUGACAGUUAACAACCCACAUGGAUACUAAGUCUGACAAAACGUAUGGUAUGUCAGCACCAGUGGUUGCCUAAAUCUUCUACUUCCACUAUAAUUGUAGAAUCAAGAAUAAUCCAUGUUUCCAUUGUUAGCUUCACCCUACUCAACUCUUCAUAAAAGUACGUAUUGCAGGUUUAUGAUGCAAAAUACGUUAACCCUGCCUGAAUAGCUUUGCCCGGAAAUAACCGACGCAUAAAUAAACCAACCAACGUUGAUAAGUUUAAACUGAACUUAUCAAGUCAUCUUCCGGUUUUAUGAUGAAACAAAGAAAACACAAUUGUUUCUAUUCUGCAGAAUACACAAAUAAAACCCCAAAAAAUCGAUUAUCAGAUUGUAAUUGACAGAUCAACUUGUAGAUGAUAUUUUACAAUGUCAAUAUAUAGACAACCUGCUUAUUUAAUAUCUAAUCGUUAAUGGUCCCAAUACAUGUAAAUAUGUCCAGAGAAUAAAAAAGCUGCCGUUAUCUAUGAACUUAUUUGUUCCAAUAGAUAUGGUAAUCCACUUAAUCUGGCUUUGUACUCCCAUAAUCGACUGAACAAAUCCCUACUGGCCUUGCUACAGCUUUCAGGCUCUUAAUUUAAUUGUAUGAAAGCAUAAGAGGAUACAAAUACAAUAAAAUAAUGAUGACAUACUUAAGUUAAACAUAUUUUAUUGUCAAAACUUUCAAAAAUGACAGUUUAUAAAAUACUUACAUGGUGUUCUCCAAGAAUGGGAGGUGAUUUUUCUGACUUUUUUUUUUAAAAAAAAUACGCAUCGACCUGGGUUUUUUGUAAGAUGAAAAUAAGCCUAAAAUAUUAUUUCAAUGUGUUUUUUUUUUAUAUAAAGGUCAAUGUAACAUAGAGUAAUAGACUGUUAUAAGCACGUAGUUUUUAUGCACUUAUCACAAACAAAUGACACAUUUCAGUUGUUCUUUGAAAUGUAUGUCAUUUGAAAAAUGUUNNNNNNNNNNNNNNNNNNNNNNNNNNNNNNNNNNNNNNNNNNNNNNNNNNNNNNNNNNNNNNNNNNNNNNNNNNNNNNNNNNNNNNNNNNNNNNNNNNNNNNNNNNNNNNNNNNNNNNNNNNNNNNNNNNNNNNNNNNNNNNNNNNNNNNNNNNNNNNNNNNNNNNNNNNNNNNNNNNNNNNNNNNNNNNNNNNNNNNNNNNNNNNNNNNNNNNNNNNNNNNNNNNNNNNNNNNNNNNNNNNNNNNNNNNNNNNNNNNNNNNNNNNNNNNNNNNNNNNNNNNNNNNNNNNNNNNNNNNNNNNNNNNNNNNNNNNNNNNNNNNNNNNNNNNNNNNNNNNNNNNNNNNNNNNNNNNNNNNNNNNNNNNNNNNNNNNNNNNNNNNNNNNNNNNNNNNNNNNNNNNNNNNNNNNNNNNNNNNNNNNNNNNNNNNNNNNNNNNNNNNNNNNNNNNNNNNNNNNNNNNNNNNNNNNNNNNNNNNNNNNNNNNNNNNNNNNNNNNNNNNNNNNNNNNNNNNNNNNNNNNNNNNNNNNNNNNNNNNNNNNNNNNNNNNNNNNNNNNNNNNNNNNNNNNNNNNNNNNNNNNNNNNNNNNNNNNNNNNNNNNNNNNNNNNNNNNNNNNNNNNNNNNNNNNNNNNNNNNNNNNNNNNNNNNNNNNNNNNNNNNNNNNNNNNNNNNNNNNNNNNNNNNNNNNNNNNNNNNNNNNNNNNNNNNNNNNNNNNNNNNNNNNNNNNNNNNNNNNNNNNNNNNNNNNNNNNNNNNNNNNNNNNNNNNNNNNNNNNNNNNNNNNNNNNNNNNNNNNNNNNNNNNNNNNNNNNNNNNNNNNNNNNNNNNNNNNNNNNNNNNNNNNNNNNNNNNNNNNNNNNNNNNNNNNNNNNNNNNNNNNNNNNNNNNNNNNNNNNNNNNNNNNNNNNNNNNNNNNNNNNNNNNNNNNNNNNNNNNNNNNNNNNNNNNNNNNNNNNNNNNNNNNNNNNNNNNNNNNNNNNNNNNNNNNNNNNNNNNNNGAAUUUAAUACGAAUAUCAGCGAAUCUUUUGCAUUAUUAAUCUUUGAAUUUAUAAUGAUCUCGUAUUCUAUUUAGGACAAAGUUUUUUUUUAAUCCGAAAUGAAAAUGAUCUUCAACUUUUAUACCAAGAACAAAAAAUAUAUCAUGCAUUGAUGAUAAUAUGGUGCUACCAUUUAUGAAAUUUGUAAUUGUGGCACUGAUUUGAAAUUCAGCAUUGCCGUAAUCAAUGAAAUAUGAUAUCCAACAUGAAACACAUGAAUAGAAAAGACAUUUUUGAAAUUGGUUAAUCGUUUAAUUAAUAGAUAAUAACAUAAAAGUAUAAAUCCUAAAUUUGCGACUGCAGCAGCCUCAGUUACGGAUCUUCCCUAAAAAUCAAAAGAUAUACGGUUCAUUUUAGAUGUGCAAUUGCGUUUGCUUUGUAUGAUGUGUUCAUGCACCGUGUACAAUGAAAUAGUGAACAUAAUUCAACUUAUCUUUUUAAUUCAGCAAAAUUAGUCAUUUAAUUAUAGAUUAUCUCGUUUAAGUAAGAUUUUCUCCUCAACGAUGCUUAAAAAAUACGUUGUGUUUUCACUUAUCAUUUCAUAAUUGGUACAUAUGAUAAUUUUUCUUUGCUAAAGUAUCUUUUUUACUUUAAAGAAUUGCCAUUUGUUGCUAGUAUUCAAACCAAUGUUUUACUUCCUUUAGACAAAAACAGCUUUUUAAAAGAUGUUAUUUGGUUUUCAUGCUCAGAUCAGAAUGUACAUGUUUUAUGCCAACCAAUGAUAUAACUUGAAGUUUUGCCAAUGAUAUAUUACACGAGUCUUGAAAAGUGGAAUACUAUAUAUACCCUUAGGCUUGGUGACACAUCACGCACUUGGUCGUAAUUGUAUCAUCACUGACAUAAUUGACAAAAUGUCUCUAGUUCUAAGGUAAAACGUGCAAUUUCUAGUUUGAAAAACAGUAUCAACUGUUUAAUACUUCUUAUAUAAAUCUUAAAUGUAUAUUAGUAUUUUCAAUUUUGUCUUGAAGAUUGUUUCAAUAUUCCGUAACAUGCUCAGUAAAAUUAAUGAUACAUACUUGCCGAUGUUUUCAUUUCUAUAUAUUUAAAAUGCAUUCUAGCAUACAUGCUUUUUUGAUGUAGCGUUGCUGUUGCAUUGGUUAUUUUCUUCUCUCUUUGUAUUUGUACUUAUGGGGAAAAAACGUCGAUAAAUCAAACAGAUCUUAAGUUUUAUAUCCAUUGACAUCUUCUCAUAAAACUAGAUACUUAAAGUACACAUUUGUCAAUAUCCAUUUCAAGCAGAACAAUGUUUGCUUAAGCGCAGCUUGAAGGCUCAAUAGCAAUUUAACUGAACUGACAACAGAAAUAAAUGACAUUGAAGAAAAAUGUUAUGAAUGGGUCAACAAAUGGUAAAGAUACUUUGCAAUACCAUUAAGUCCUGCACAUUUCACGCUAAUAUAUAUCUCAAGCUGAUUUCCCAUGUGAAAUACAGACAAUAAAAGCCAGGGAUUUGUCAUGACUUUUAUAGAUUCUGAGAGCAAAUAUUAAGCAUUGUUAGUUUCAAUUUUUGUGUGAACUUCUGAAGUGAAGAUCUGUACGUCGCCAAACAAUUUAAUGAUCCUAGAAUUAUUGCAGUUUUAUAAUUAGAUCUUGAUGGAGUUGGUUUUUUUAGGCAGUUGAAAAUUAGAACUUGCAUGCAAAUGAACAGCUCGAUACUUUAUUUAUCUAUACUUUAAAAUUGUAAUGACAAUACUUGAGGUCUGCUGGUAUAAUUAGUUUUAGAUCAAUAUCAUAUUACUGAGGUUGGCUUCUUACCUUAGUUUUCAUUUAUUAAUACUUUAAGAUGCAUAAUGCUAUAGAUUUAAUUUUGAAUUUCGCUCCAAUAUCUUUUGCCACUCUGUGACAUUUUUACAUGUGAUAUAUGUUUGUUUUGUUCACACAUUGUUGUCAAUACAAUGGAAUUUUAUGAAACUGUCAUACAAGUGGUUAAUAUAUUAAAUUAUCAAAAACUACCUAUACAAUCGGGUUUAAUCCAUCAUCUUUUACAUAAAAAAAAAAAUGCCUGCACCAAGUUAUGAUUAAGACAUUUGUUAUUCAAUCGUUUGAUGUUUUGAGCUUUAGAUUUUGACAUCUGUUAAAGGACUUUCCGUUUUCAAUUUUCCUCGACUCGGUAUUUUUUAGAUUUACUCUUUUAUAUAAUCAUAUUCACUUUCGGGAAUGUGAUGUUAUGAUAUAUUACAAUCGGUAUUUCCAUUUAGGUAUAUAAGCUAUGUAAAAUCUGAGUUAAACAAGCCUGCAUGUAAUGUAAAGUUCAAUAGACACAACAGCGAACAGUUACAUAAACAUUCAAGCUAUUACUUUAUACUUGUAAUGUAAUUUAGAAAGUAUUCGUGUUAUUGUUGUAUUUGAACAUGAUUCCUUCUUUUCUUAAUGAAUAAAUCUGAAAUGUGAUUGACAUUAAGACAAUUUCCAUAAUGGAGAGCAGUCUUUUAGUAAUCGACAAAUUAAAGUAAAGGAGAAAACAAUUGUUAUGUUGUAUGACCAAGAGGGUUGUAUAGUUCUAUAGUUGUCUCAGUGUGGUAUAACUGCCCACUCGCGGUGUCACUGUUUUCCACAUUACUUCAAUAACUUCAUCAUUGUUAUAAUCGAUGAGUCUUUCUUUAAUGUAGGAAAGUGUACAUUGUUAUUUCAAAAUGAUAAAUUUACAAAAAAUCAACGAAAGGUUAUGCUUAUUAUCUAUCUCUAUCUCAAAUAGCCUUUCAGGAAAAGGUUUAGUAUAGUAUUGUUUCACGUAUUGUAACAUUAAGAGAUAUUCAAGUGCCUAUAUGUAUUUGUGUGCAUAGUGAUGUCAUAAAUUUAAACGAACAUAUCAAUGCAUCAUUAGUAAAUUAUUAAAUCCGGGAUUAAAACAAUUAGUGAAAUCUCUCAUAGACGAAAUAUUUCAUUAUUAAAUUUGGCUGUCUGCAUAAAACCGGUAUUUCACAUUCUAAAUCUUAAUGUGAUAUUGCAACGAAUGCCACAUGCGGAGCAGGAUAUGCUAACCCUUCCAAGGCACCUGAGAUCACCCCCAGUUUUGGUGGGGUUUGUGUUGCUUAGUCUUUAGUUUUCUAUGUUGUGUCUUUUGUACUAUUAUGUGUCUGUUUGUCUUUUAUUUUUUUAGCCAUGGCGUUGUCAGUUUAUUUUCUAUCUAUGAGUUUGACUAUCCCUCUGCUAUCUUUCGACCCUCUUUUGUACUAAAAGCGCGGAAAUCAGAUCCGUGGAAACUCAUCGAACCUUUAAACAAACUUAUUAGUAAAGGUUAUCUAAGUACUGUUGUAAUCCGAUCUUUGAAUAUUGUUAACAUUGGCAUUAAUACAUUAAAACAUAACUAUUUUUAAUAUUUUUUUUGAAUUGCUUUUGUGAUGUAUAAAUAUCCAUUCACGUUUUUGUAUUUAUCUAUAUAUACUAGAACACACCCGUGAUAUCGCGGGUCCGUGACUGAUUUAAAGUAUAUAACUAGGCUUAUUUUAAUAUUGGCAUUGUCAUCUGAUAAAGUCAUGCCGAUUAUAAGAUGCACAGUUUCUGCUUUCAAAAUCUUUCUGUUUGAACCCUUCGACCUGGAACUUAUCAAUUAUGGUAAUAUAAUUAUUUGGAAAACAAAAGGUCCUGGAAUGGAGUAUUUUCUAAUCAACAGCAUUGUCCUAUAUUAGUUAUAAAUAAAGUUGAAUUCUUUUAUUCGCUGUUUUACGGCAUGCUCGUAACAAAUUGAAAACGUACCUAUACGCUUAUUUUAGUCCAGAUUCGUAUUCGUAUUGUUAUCUUAGAAAGUUUACUGAUAAAAGUACUACAAUAGGGAACAAUUUGACAAUGAUUGAAUUUAGAAGGAUCAACCCUGUGAUUAUGACCCGUGUAUAUAGCAAAAUCCUAAAUACACCGUUUGGUGGUGCGCCUAUCAGAUGCGGAACGUACAGAUAAGGUAAUUGGUAACAAGUGAAUAUACUAUUGGUAUCGGUAUCGGAUUCGACCCCGAACUUGUUAAUUAUUGGCAACAUUAAUUAUGUGGAAAACAAAAGGGUCUGAAGGUGUGUAAUUUUUAAUCUACACCAUUGUCCUAUAUUAUCUGUAUAAAAAGAUGAAUUUUUUGAUUUGUCGUUUUUUCCCCAUGACGGCUGACAAAUUGGACCUCGUUAUUUUAGUAUUGUAGAUAACAGGAUACGUAUUUAUCAUAAGGUUAAAUCCGAAAGUUCCUACUGCUUGUCGAUACUUUUAUAUUGACCUUGCACAAGUCAUGUUUUCUUUGACUGUCCAUGGCGUUAAAAUACAAAACCUUGAUAUGAAUUUUAAUAGAUUCAAGUCUCUGAUGGAUGAUUUUUAAUCUUUAAUUGUUUUUGGUUUUUAACAAGCUUUCAGUAACUACGAGAACUCUCAAAUCGUUCUUUCGUGCUAAUUUGACCUGUUGACACAAUUUUUAUAGCAUUUCAAUUAUUCAUGAUUACUUAUUUUUUUGUUAUAAUUCAUCUCCCUAGUUUUAAUAUGAACCCCCUUUGAUUAAUAUUUAGUAUGACGAUAAAUUUUCACUUCUGUACACUGAACAACAAAUGUAUUUAUCUUGUUAAAAAUGUUUACUUCCGUACUGUUAACAACAAAAUUGUUAUAUUUGAAUUAACCUAUGUACUUUGUUUUAUUUAAUAUCAUUUUGUCCAAUGUUACAGUUGUAUUUUGUCACUGUCCUUACAACUUUUUUCUACCUCUGACGUCUGUGUUACACAGGCGCCUAUGUUUUAAUCUUUUUUCUGUAUUGUUUCAUAGAUCAAACUUAUUGGUUCAAUGUAUGUUUACAAUGUACUUGUUUUGUUCACACGUCUGUUUGGUCGAGUUCUAAAGGGUUAAGCCCUUUCAGUGGUUAUCUUCGUGUGUCUUUUGAAGGUAAUGUUACACUUCUGUCUAAGGUAAGAGUGAAUGUUGGCGCCUGUUUAAACGUUUAAACCCGCUGCAUUUUAAUGCACAAGUGAUGUCGUUUCUUGGUAUGGUCCAUAACCGUUUUGUUAUAUAUAUAUAUAGAUUAGACCGUUGUUUUUCCUGUUUGAUUUGUUUUACGCUAUUCAUUUUGGGGCCCCUUAUAGAUUGCUGUUCGGUGGGAGCUAUGGCACCGUGUUGAAGUCCAUACUUUGACCUAUAGUUACUGUUUAUACAUUGUGUGAAUUGAAUGGAUAUACGGUCUAAGUGGCCCUCCUACCACGUCUUCGUAUUAAGAUUGAACGUUUAAAUGUAUAUUUACGUACGCAUAGUGGUGACAAAAUAAAUAUUAUAUAAUCGCAAGCUGCGGUUUUUAUAAACUGUAUAAGAAAUGAUAGCAAGUGACUUGUUUUCAUUUCGAAUAAAUUUAAAAAAAAAACACGCAUUUUUUUUCUUAUAUUCACAGAUUUCAAAAGAUCUAUUUUAACAUUAAGAAUCCGAAAGUAAAACGUCCAAGUGACAGUUUACACACUGAAGUAUCGAUUUCGAAUAAAAAGAUAACUUUUUUAUGUUCCAAAUGAUGACCACUUUAAGAUCACCGCCACCCAUUUUUGAAUUGGUAUUGUUUGACAAAUUAAGUAUCAAAACUUAACAUAUUGCCAUGGAAACGAAGCAAAAAGUGAAUUGUUGUUUUCAUUUAUUCGUUUAAGUGAUAUUGGAUAUAAACAUAAUUUAUGGCACUUUUGAAAUAAUUUAUCGAACACGCUACAUCGUAAAACAUCUAUUAAGAAACAGUGGAGGUGGAAAAGAAUACUAAAUAGCAUUAUGAAAUAUUCAAAUUACUGAGUCUAAAUUUCAGUCUUAUGAUUCAACAUUUGUUUUAUUUAUAUUGAUUGAGAAAACCAAAUACGUUUAAAUCUUCUGCUGAUUUCGUGAAUAUAAUACUAUCUGCCGAAGUUUGUAUUCCAUUAUUAAUGUAAUAGGUGGCACCGAGGGAAAUAUUAAGUUUUAAAAUAAAAUCAAUAUAGAUUUAUAGCAUUCUGAUCGAAAAAUAAUUUCAUUUCUAUUGUAGAUCACGAUGAAGUUGCCGUUCAUGAGAAACUAUACUCCGACUUAUAUUUUUGGAGUAAUAGGGAUCAUAAUUCUUUUAGUCAAUGAUUUCAUUACAGGUAUGUUUUAAUACGUCGUAGUUGCAUUCAUUACUAUUACACAUUUUUGAAGGGAUUUUUUGUCACAGUCUUGAUUGUUUAAAAGGAACUCUUAUUUUGAAGCUUUUCGUGUAUCCCCUUUUGCACAAUUAUCAAAUAAAUACCAGUAGUUAAUAUUCAAAUCAGAGACAAUAUUUCAAGCAUUUUUCCUUGUUAAAUUCUUUGUUUUUCUUUUUGUCAAGAAACAGACAUUCAUGUUAACUUUACUCAUAAUGUAUUUAUAUAAAUAUGUUGUAAAUUCUAAGGCGGACACUAACAUAUGACCAAUCUAAUAAAUAUUAAAAAUCUACCUUAUCUUUCGUUUCUUCCUUAAUAAACUGUUGUGUUGUAAUAUAAUUUAUAACACACUCACCAUGCAUAGUAUAUCCGAAGUUUUAGGUAGUCUAAAUGUACUGAAUCUAUCCCAUUUUAUCGUGAUCGGCGAAAUAACUUAUUCUAAAGGUCAAAAGAGAAAGAAACAAACUAUUAUUUGAAGGCACUCAAGUAAAACAUGUUUACCUGUUCAUGAGUUUUACUUGCACGUGAACGUAAUACAAUAAAAUUGUUUUACUGUAUCUUUGCUAUAAUGCACCUUGUGAAAAAAAUUGCAAUUCGUUAUACGGGACGACACACACAACGACUUAAUCCACAUCAUUUUGUCCGCUUUCGGUUAUCUGCUGCACAUGAUAUGAGUAUAAAAUCCAUUGGUUUGCAACACCAAUAGGAAUAGUAGACAUACAUCUGCUAAUAACAAUAGCAAUUGUUUGUAAUUGCAAUUAGGAACAUAGAUCAUGUUGAUUGUUUUGCCGUAAGGCUACCCACUAAUAAGCGUUGAGAUAACCCUUAAAGAAAGUCAUACACAUAGAAGGUUUGUCAUUGAAAAGCCUGUUUUGAACUAAGUAUUACUUUGUCUUCCAAUUACUCGCAUAAAAGUCAUGAUUUUAACUGUAGAUGUUUGCUGUCAUUAGCAUAUCACACUUAACAAUUGCCAAUUCCCAUCAUUUAAUUUAAACGUUCAUGAAUAUAACAAUACAAAGACAAUGUUUGAUUGCCAAUGCAACAACUGUAAACCUAUCCAUUUUUACUUUUGAUCAGCAAAAUUAUUUAUCAAUCAAUGAUGACAUCUUAAUUUUAUACUUAUUUUAGAAUGAAAAUGAAAAAAAUAGCCUUCCUUUAUGAAAUAAUGUUAGAAUAAUAAUAUCUAAUGCUAAAUAGCAUUUUUUUUUUUUAUUAUUACUCACUUUUAAAAACUGCUUCGGUUGAAGAAUAAAUUAAAAUAUGCUCUCAUGUAGCUUUUUUUUUUUAAAGAAAAAUCAUAUAAAACAUAAAUUUAAAACCCAAAGUUAACAGCGCCCUCAUCCACUCCUUGUCACGACGUAAGUGAUAGUGAGCGGCCGGAAUAUAACGCCUCGGAUUAACGUACCACCUUAUACAUAAAAUAUAAAGACAAGAAGAUGUGGUAUGAUUGCCACUGAGAAAACUCUUCUUUAGAGAUUAAUUUGUAUGUACUAAUUGAAGUGCACGGAUAUAUGUUUUUGAUUAUAAGUAUAAUUGUAUAGACAAGAUUCUUCUAAGAAUACUUUGACAUUAAGACACGAUCAUCUUUCCAUUCCAGACAUGUCAAGAUUAAUCAUGCUCCCUAUGUUUGUUUUAAACUCUACGUACAAAAACACACGUUUUUUCUAUAUGUAUCAUGCCAUUAAUCUAAAACUAUCGUCGUAUAAUCAUCAUUAAAUUAAUACAGUUCGCUUUUCUAACCAUUUUACAGUAAAUAGUUAUCAAAGGUACCAGGCUUAUAAUUUAAUACGCUAGACGCGCUUUUCGUAUGCAUAAGACUCAUCAGUGACGCUCAGAUCAAAAUAGUUAAAAAGCCAAACAGUACAAAGUUGAAGAGAUAACGAAAUAAAUGAAAACAUGUAUUGGUGCAAACAUAGUUUUGUCGUACGUUACAAAUCAUUGGUCCUACAACCAAACUGUCUGAUUGACCAUGUGUAUACUCUUAUCUAUAAAAUUUCAAAUAUUACUUCAUUUGAAUUUUACUUGAAAUUUCCUAUUUAUCUGCUAUUGCUUUGUUGCAGCAUAUCAGAGUAGCUACGAUAAUUACUUGCCAGACCAACAGGAAACAGAAUCUCUACCGACAGACAAAAGGUAUAUCUUUGAUUGAAUUGUCUUAAAUUUAAAUAUUUUAUGUUAAAAUUUGAAUUCAUGCAGUAGAUAAUUACUAUUAUUCAUUUUGUACAGUUUAUAAUAAAUAUAUUAUUAAUCAUAUGAACAAAUUUUUAAAUACUUUUGUUUUAUCCAAAGGCGUCACAUUUAAGGCUCGGUUUUGAUGCUCCAAUUUUGAUUUUCCUUUUCUUAUUAUUGAGAAAAAAAUAACAAACCACAAAAUAUAAAGAAAGUUCAAUAUUAAACUAUUGAACAUAAAAUGAUACGUGGAAACUGAAAUGAUAUAUACAUCGAUAAUCGACUAUCGUAGGUUAAAUCUACACUCUUUUUUUCUUUAGAUACGCCAUGUUAUCGUACAGCUUCAGACCAAGAAGCCGAUACGGAUCACGAAGAAGAUACCGGCCAUAUCGAAAACAUUAUAGGUACAUUUACAAGUAUUCUAACAAGUAUGUACAAACACCAAAUAGCAUCAUCUACACAUUUCUUUCGGUACUCCUUUUGGUGAUAUCUUUGCUUUUAUCAAAUAAGACUUUCGGAAACAUGAAAGUCGCAAUUAUAUUAUAAUUUAUUUUGUUUACUAUGCAUGUGCAUGUGCAUGAACCAGAAUAUACGGCGUGUUUAUCUACAAACAUAUACAUUUUUUCUCUCACUUUUCACCUUUUGAAUCUAUAUACAAAAUGAAACUCGCAUAUGGAAACAUAGAAUAUAAUAGAAUCUGUGAAAUGCAUCGUUACACAAAAGAAAGAUGUUUUUUAGAAUAACUUGAUUAUUUUUUUAUUUUUUUUUGCAAAUCAACAUAUAUACAAAUGUUAAUUCAAUUAAGUUGCAUAUAAACUCAUCAUAGAUACCAGGACUAAAAUCUAUCAGUGAAAGCAUAUACUGCUGAAGAGUUUUGGAGUUACUGUAGAAAAAAAUGAUUAUACGAAGAAUUAUCCAAAUAAUGCAACAAGAAUUUUUGAGUUUUCCAUGUUGCUGUUUCUUUCAUGUGAAUUCUUGAUUCAGUUUUUCAAUUUCUUAUAACUAUAGACAUAUUUGUAGUCUUAUUUUUCUUAUUAAUCUAUCUUUUUACUUUAAAAUAUUUGUUGUUUUAUAGAUGAGCUAUCAAAUUACGUGUAUAAUUUCUUGAACUGUGUAAAGUUUUUACGUUACUGGCUCAUAGAUGUAUAUCAAAUUUUUAUUCAUAUUAAAUCGUGUUAUUCAUAAAGUAGUAAAUGUUUAUACAUGUACUCAGAAUGUUAAUGAAUAUUUACGUUUUUUUUAUUCGGAUGUAUUUUUUUUCAAUAUCAAAAAGUUUUGCAUUACUCAUGGUCUUCAUAGGCACUUCUUACAAUUAUACUAUGCAUGACAUAUGUACAUCUUAUUACAGGUCACGAUUAAUUUGAUGACAGUCAUUUAUAUUUCUUGUUUUGUUUUUGUUUCAGUUAUAGUCAAAAUCGUGACAAGCCAUGGAUGAAACUACCCAACAUGUGGUGUUACAGGCGUCCAUGUUCUUCAACAAACGAUUGCUGUAGAAAACACAAUAUUUGUGAUCCUAGCGCAAAACGUUGCAUCGACUGCUGGUACGGUUAUCCAUGCACAAGAAAUGCUGACUGCUGUGAAAGAUUUCCUGUUUGCGACAAAAGGAGUAACUCUUGCAAGAACUAAAAUGUUUCGAAGUAAAUCAAACCAAAGCUGUGACACUAAUCAUUGCAUUUGUACUUAUUCAUUUAAUAAAUGAUUUAUUUCUUUUA
RNAcentral lists this long non-coding RNA (27156 nucleotides) under Mytilus galloprovincialis (Mediterranean mussel). The record is from RNAcentral. Lineage: Eukaryota; Metazoa; Mollusca; Bivalvia; Mytilida; Mytilidae.